Molecule: ribosomal RNA, 468 nt
Filed under: uncultured bacterium
Lineage: Bacteria
Description: partial 16S ribosomal RNA
Rfam family: Bacterial small subunit ribosomal RNA
Source: RNAcentral
GACGAACGCUGGCGGCGUGCUUAACACAUGCAAGUCGAACGGACAGUCUCUGCUUUAGCGUGCUGCUCGAUUGGCGAACAGUUGCGUAACGCGGGGUUAACCUGCGCUUGACUUUGGGAUAACGUCAGGAAACUGGUGCUAAUGCCAGCUAGUAGCGCCUGCUGCUAAUUAUUGGUUGGAAAUUUUCGGCGGGUUGGGAUGGACGCGCGGCUUAACAGCUUUUUGGUGGGGUAGCUGCUAAGUAAGGCAUUGGCGGAUAGCCGGCCUGAGAGGGUGACCGGCCACAUUGGGACUGAGAAACCGCCAAGACUGCUACGGGGGGAAGCGGUGGGGGAUAGUGCACGCUGGGCGGCAGCAGGAUGCAGCAACGCCGCGUGCGGGAUGACGGCUUUCGGGUUGGAAACCGCUUUCGCCUGUGACGAAGCGUGAGUGACGGUAAUGUGUAAGGAAGCACCGGCUAACUACGUG